UAGCGGGAGCUUAGUGCACCGGGCUGCCUUCUUUUUUUCUUGUUGGUAAUUCCUUGAAAAUUUGAAGGAAAUGUUAUGAAAAAAAGUUAAGUUUAACCAUCUAGCUCUUCCUGAUUGCUUAAACAUUUUAGGCCAGAGACAGAGGAGGAAAAGAAUCUGAAGGAAGAAAUAGAACAUCUCAGAAAGGAAGCUAUGCAGAGCUCGGGUCAUGACCAGACUAAUUUACAGAAUGUGAUUAAUCCGAAAGACAGGGACUUGGAACUGCUGAUCCGUGAUUUGGAUGACAAAGUUCGUUUCGGUCAGAAAAGGCCAGGCUCUGCGUCAGGCAGGGAAAGGAACCUGAAGGAAGAAAUAGAACAGCUCAGAAAGGAAGCUAUGCAGAGCUCGGGUCAGGACCAG
RNAcentral lists this long non-coding RNA (399 nucleotides) under Nicotiana benthamiana. RNAcentral describes it as "long non-coding RNA (NBEN_LNC027649)". Lineage: Eukaryota; Viridiplantae; Streptophyta; Magnoliopsida; Solanales; Solanaceae. The record is from RNAcentral.